UAAACGAUGCCACCAGCGAUCCGCCUGAGUUCUGCUUUUAAUCGACUCGGCGGGCAGCUUUCGGAAACCCAAAGUUUUUCGGUUCCGGGGGAAGUAUGGUUGCAAAGCUGAAACUUAAAGGAAUUGACGGAAGGGCACCACCAGGAGUGGAGCCUGCGGCUUAAUUUGACUCAACACGGGGAAACUCACCCGGCCCGGACACUGGAAGGAUUGACAGAUUGAGAGCUCUUUCUUGAUUCAGUGGGUGGUGGUGCAUGGCCGUUCUUAGUUGGUGGAGUGAUUUGUCUGGUUAAUUCCGAUAACGAACGAGACUCUAGCCUACUAAAUAGGUGGCGCGCGUUCUGUGUGACGUGUGGCAGCAUGACUGUGGCGCGAGCUGCUGUCAUAUGCUGCCUCACCGAUCCAGACUACCGCGUUUCGUCUGACUUCUUAGAGGGACUGGCGGUGUUUCAACCGCACGAAACGGAGCAAUAACAGGUCUGUGAUGCCCUUAGAUGUCCGGGGCCGCACGCGCGCUACACUGAAAAGAUCAGCGUGCAUCGAGUUUCAGCCUGCACCGAUAGGUGCGGGGAACCGCGUGAACCUUUUUCGUGAUUGGGAUAGGGGCUUGUAAUUGUUGCCCUUGAACGAGGAAUUCCCAGUAAGCGCGAUUCAUCCAGAUCGCGUUGAUUACGUCCCUGCCC
This 683-nucleotide ribosomal RNA is filed under the name uncultured eukaryote. Its description in RNAcentral is "bacterial SSU rRNA". It matches the Rfam family "Eukaryotic small subunit ribosomal RNA", at positions 1033 to 1658 of the family's 1831-position model. The record is from RNAcentral.